Molecule: unclassified non-coding RNA, 357 nt
Filed under: soil metagenome
Description: partial contains 5.8S ribosomal RNA, internal transcribed spacer 2, and large subunit ribosomal RNA
Rfam family: 5.8S ribosomal RNA (bases 1-119)
Source: RNAcentral
GAUGAAGAACGUAGCGAAAUGCGAUAAGUAAUGUGAAUUGCAGAAUUCAGUGAAUCAUCGAAUCUUUGAACGCACAUUGCGCCCGUCAGUAUUCUGGGGGCAUACCUGUUCGAGCGUCAUUACGCCCCUCAAGUCCCCUGUGGACUUGGUGUUGGGGAUCGGCGAGGCUGGUUUUCCAGCACAGCCGUCCCUUAAAUUAAUUGGCGGUCUCGCCGUGGCCCUCCUCUGCGCAGUAGUAAAACACUCGCAACAGGAGCCCGGCGCGGUCCACUGCCGUAAAACCCCCCAACUUUUUAUAGUUGACCUCGAAUCAGGUAGGACUACCCGCUGAACUUAAGCAUAUCAAUAAGCGGAGGA